UGCAUCGUUCCUACUCACAGUUCCUUGGUUCCAACUUCCAACUCUCCUCUUUCUCUACUCUAAUUCCUGAUCAACGCCAUCUUGUCAAUCCUCCAUCUCCAUCCUCCAUCUCCACCUUGCCGUCGAACCCUAAUUCCUUAUACCCUCGUUCAACCUCAAUCUCCGUCGAACCUUAUGUCCUUCGUUUCGGCCCAAAACACCUCCAUCGAACCCUAAAUUUCUCAAUUCUCAGUAUACCCAGAACGACAAUUCUCUGUGUAACAACCUUAUAUAGUUAUAUCUCAACAUUUUCAUUGAUUGGGUAACGACAAUUCUCUGUGUAACCCACUGUUUUGAUUGGGUUUAUCUUUUAUUUUAAUUUUAAUUUCAUUGAUUCAUAUUAUAUGGGAUUGUUAAUUGUUGAUUUGAUUGAUGAUGAUUGUUAAUAUUAACCAGUAUUACUAGUAUUUUUUAAUUUCAAGCUGUGUUUGUUUUCUUGCCAUUUGAAUUGUGUCUGCUGCAUGUUUAUAUUGGGGUUUUGCUGUUGUUUCAGUGGUGUCACAAGAGGUGUCUGCUGUUUGAGGAUAUUUUUGGUUUGUGCUUUAAUUGGUUUGGUAUGGCUGUGUGUUUUUGUUGGGUUUGGCCGAGGGAAUGUGUCUUUUCUCCGUGUUUCCUUUAAAUUGUUACGCCUCGGUUUGGUUUGAUGUAUUGUGCUUCUUGAUAAUGGUUGAAAUAGUCAUCAAGCUAAUGUUAAUGUGGCAGCCCUCUUUGAGCUUGAUUCAUUCCCCAAUUGUUACUCUUUUGAAUUUCAUCUUUGAUUUUAUGUUACUAGUGUUGUGUGAUCAAAUUUUUUGAUUACUGUAGACUGGUGAUUUUAUUUCAUUCUGUGUGGUAGUAGUUGGAAGCUUAUCCACUGAUCUUUAAAAGCUAGCUGACUAAAUAUACAUUUGAUAGCUUCAUAUACCACCGACAUGAUCAUGUUACUAUGAACUUUGCCAGAAGUGGAGGACAUGGGAUGUUAACAAAUGGACGGACACAUGUAGGGGCUGAGUGUGACUUUAGCCACACCAGAUGUUUCCAAAAAAAAUUUAUAUACUGAAAAGAAAGAAAAAAGUACAGAAUUGUUAACCUCAAACAAUCACAUAUUCUUUCUCUCUUCCUCUUCAAAUUCUCAAAUAAGCAAGAUUAGAAGUGUCUACCUCAAAUCCUCAAUCUUCAAUUUUCUACCAGUUGUAAGCUUAUAGGUGUGUUUGAAAAUCUAAGGUAAAGUGAGUAUUCCAAUUUUCUCCUA
This is a long non-coding RNA of Trifolium pratense (red clover), 1270 nucleotides long. RefSeq lists it as uncharacterized. The record is from RefSeq and is a predicted model, not a curated record. The transcript is spliced from 3 exons. NCBI's taxonomy places the organism in Eukaryota, Viridiplantae, Streptophyta, Magnoliopsida, Fabales, Fabaceae.